Molecule: ribosomal RNA, 252 nt
Filed under: uncultured bacterium
Lineage: Bacteria
Description: partial 16S ribosomal RNA
Rfam family: Bacterial small subunit ribosomal RNA
Source: RNAcentral
UACGGAGGAUGCGAGCGUUAUCCGGAUUUAUUGGGUUUAAAGGGUGCGUAGGCGGAGUGCCAAGCCAGCGGUAAAAAUUCGGGGCUCAACCCCGUCGUGCCGUUGAAACUGGCGCCCUUGAGUGGGCGAGAAGUAUGCGGAAUGCGUGGUGUAGCGGUGAAAUGCAUAGAUAUCACGCAGAACCCCGAUUGCGAAGGCAGCAUACCGGCGCCCGACUGACGCUGAAGCACGAAAGCGUGGGUAUCGAACAGG